RNAcentral lists this ribosomal RNA (486 nucleotides) under uncultured bacterium. Its description in RNAcentral is "bacterial SSU rRNA". It matches the Rfam family "Bacterial small subunit ribosomal RNA", at positions 28 to 507 of the family's 1533-position model. The record is from RNAcentral.
GAUGAACGCUAGCGGCAGGCCUAACACAUGCAAGUCAGGGGUAACAUAGAAAAGCUUGCUUUUCUGAUGACGACCGGCGCACGGGUGCGUAACGCGUAUACAACCUACCUUUUAGCGGGGAAUAGCCCAGGGAAACUUGGAUUAAUGCCCCAUAGUAUAUGGACUUCUCCUGAAGUUUAUAUUAAACAUUUAUGGCCAUUAGAUGGGUAUGCGUCCUAUUAGCUAGUUGGUGUGGUAACGGCACACCAAGGCUACGAUAGGUAGGGGUCCUGAGAGGGAGAUCCCCACACUGGUACUGAGACACGGACCAGACUCCUACGGGAGGCAGCAGUGAGGAAUAUUGGACAAUGGGCGGGAGCCUGAUCCAGCCAUGCCGCGUGCAGGAAGACUGCCCUAUGGGUUGUAAACUGCUUUUACAGAGGAAGAACCACCCCCACGUGUGGGGGUUUGACGGUACUCUGCGAAUAAGGAUCGGCUAACUCCGUG